Molecule: ribosomal RNA, 253 nt
Filed under: uncultured bacterium
Lineage: Bacteria
Description: partial 16S ribosomal RNA
Rfam family: Bacterial small subunit ribosomal RNA
Source: RNAcentral
UACGGGGGGGGCAAGCGUUGUUCGGAAUUACUGGGCGUAAAGGGCUCGUAGGCGGCCAACUAAGUCGGAUGUGAAAUCCCCAGGCUCAACCUGGGAACUGCAUCCGAUACUGGAUGGCUUGAAUUCGGGAGAGGGAUGCAGAAUUCCAGGUGUAGCGGUGAAAUGCGUAGAUAUCUGGAGGAAUACCUGUGGCGAAGGCGGCAUCCUGGACCGACAUUGACGCUGAUGAGCGAAAGCUAGGGGAGCAAACGGG